CCUGCCCCGGCCUCUCCCCAGCAUCCCAGGGUUCCUGAUCUCCUGGAUAAGGAUACAAGUCACCACACUGGACUGGGGCUCAGCCUGCUCUAGAAUACCUCACCUAAGUCACAGUGGACCAGGCUCAGCCUGCUCUAAGGUGAGCUUACCCGAGACACUGGACCAGAGAUCAGCCUAUCCUGGGAUAAGCUCACCCGAGUCACACUGGACCAGGGCUCAGCCUAUUCCGGGAUGAGCUCACCCGAGUCACACUGGACCAGGGCUCAGCCUAUUCUAGGAUGAGCUCACCCGAGUCACACUGGACCAGGGCUCAGCCUAUUCCGGGAUGAGCUCACCCGAGUCACACUGGACCAGGGCUCAGCCUAUUCCGGGAUGAGCUCACCCGAGUCACACUGGACCAGGGCUCAGCCUAUUCCGGGAUGAGCUCACCCGAGUCACACUGGGCCAGGGCUCAGCCUAUUCUAGGAUGAGCUCACCCAAAUCACACUGGACCAAGGCUCAGCCUGCUCUAGAAUACCUCACCUAAGUCACACUGGACCAGGGCUCAGCCUGCUCUAAGGUGAGCUCACCCGAGACACUGGGCCAGAGAUCAGCCUACUCUGGGAUGAGCUCAUCCGAGUCACACUGGGCCAGGGCUCAGCCUAUUCCAGGAUGAGCUCACCCGAGUCACACUGGACCAGGGCUCAGCCUAUUCUAGGAUGAGCUCACCAGAGUCACAGUGGACCAAGGCUCAGCCUGCUCUAGGAUGACCUCACUGGAGUCACACUGGACCAGGACUCAGCCUAUUCCAAGAUAACCUCACCCAAGUCACACUGGACCAAGCUCACCCUGCUCCAGGAUGAUCUCACCUGAGCUCACUGCAUCUGCAAGGACCCCAUUUCCAAACAAGGGCUCAGCCCCACAGGAGGCCUGGGAGCAGUCACACUGGAGGCUCUCCGCCACUCUAGGAACCAGGACCACAGUUCUAGAGACAAAGUCAUCCCCUGGAGGGCCCCCGGAGGCAGCUUCAGGCUAACGGCCCGCCCACUGCCCAGGGACACUUCCCAGGGACUGAGGGGACACUUCUCUGG
Molecule: long non-coding RNA, 1070 nt
Filed under: Homo sapiens (human)
Lineage: Eukaryota; Metazoa; Chordata; Mammalia; Primates; Hominidae
Description: HSALNT0274775
Source: RNAcentral